RNAcentral lists this long non-coding RNA (771 nucleotides) under Phaseolus vulgaris (common bean). RNAcentral's name for it is "long non-coding RNA (PVUL_LNC004651)". The record is from RNAcentral. Lineage: Eukaryota; Viridiplantae; Streptophyta; Magnoliopsida; Fabales; Fabaceae.
AUAAGAACGACACGUGGCAUCGCGUGGAGCGUAGCAGUGGGAAGUUCAUGAGGAGGUUCAGAUUGCCGGAGAAUGCAAGAGUGGAUCAAGUAAAGGCUUCUAUGGAAAAUGGCGUUCUCACUGUUAGUGUUCCUAAGGAAGAUACUAAGAAGCCUGAUGUGAAGGCCAUUGAAAUUUCUGGUUAAGGUUACUUGGUUACUUUGUGGAAAUUCUCUUGUUAUGUGUGCUGAGGAUCAAGUGUGUGAUUGAUGCUACAAAGAUGUUGUAAAAUACAAGUAGCAAUAUGGUGGUUGAGAAAUAAAAUUUCAUUUUGAUAACUUUGGAUUGUAAGAUCUUAGAAUAGUUUUUAUAUCUGAAGCUCAAAUAAAACUGACUUAAUAUAUAAGAGGUUAACCAUUAUCUGGUGAGGGUUCAAUACUAAAUUUGAUUGAUUAGCAGCAAAUAACAGUACAGAAAAUUGUGAUGGAAUGAACUUAAAGACUGACAGAGCAAUAUGAAUUUAGAGUCACCUUUUGAAUUGAAUCUUUUGAAAUUGAAAGUAUAACAACAUCCCUGAAAGGAAGAAUUUACAGAAUUGAAGAAAGGAAAGAAAGUAUAUUUCUAAGAGAAGACUAAUUCAAUUUCGGACAUACUUGGCAUCGCGUGGAGCGUAGCAGCGGGAAGUUCAUGAGUAGGUUCAGAUUGCCGGAAAAUACCAAAGUUGAUGAAGUAAAGAGUUCUUCGUUCCUUAUUUCAAAAUCGAGUGUUUUUGUUUUGUGGCGGAUCUUGUUU